UAAGUGUUCAUAAACAUAGUCAUUAAUAUUCAUAUUGUAUUACUAUUGAACACGAAAAGGCGUUGACAAUAAGAGUCACGGUGUUUCGGGUUUUUCGGCACAGCUUCCUUCGUGGUGCAGUGGCAGAGAUGCAGUGAUGGAAGAGAGUCUGUCAACCAGUUGAUAUGGAUAUGAUAAACCAACGUAAAAGCUAAACCCAUGUAAAGAUAUACACCCGUCUUUUAAUGGGUACGCCAUAGAGGAUUUUCACUCUUCACACACGAGACCUAUAUAUUUGUGGAGGGUUCAUCUUACUCGCAGUCGACUCACGAUCGAUCCUAAGGCGGUGCGGUUGUAUUUAUUAGAGGCUACAAGAUGGAAUCCUCAUGUACAGAACUGAGCAGAAAAUCAAGACUGUGGAGGACGGAGGAAUCACUGUCACUAACAGGAAAUGGCGGAAAGUUGUGGAAAAUUCUGAGGAAAAAAAACCUGGAUCCGCCCCUGAUGUACAUGUGGAUUUGACUUAUUCAUUCAUACAUUAAUUGAUCAAUAAGACCACGGGCGCUAAUAUAUACAGCAUUCUUAUUAAUACUACGUUUAUUCCAUGGUACUGUAAAAUGUAGGGUUAUCAGUUUCAUUUGUUUGAUUGAUUUGUCUACCUUGUU
Molecule: long non-coding RNA, 644 nt
Organism: Lingula anatina
Lineage: Eukaryota; Metazoa; Brachiopoda; Lingulata; Lingulida; Lingulidae
Source: RefSeq, a predicted model, not a curated record